GCCCCGGUGGUGUGGUUGUAGAGCACGCGUCCCCUGAUAGGAUGAAACGCGGGCUCGAUUCUCGCCUGAGGCC
Non-coding RNA from Parelaphostrongylus tenuis, 73 nucleotides. Lineage: Eukaryota; Metazoa; Nematoda; Chromadorea; Rhabditida; Metastrongylidae. The record is from the annotation of a GenBank genome assembly.